AUUGAACGCUGGCGGAAUGCUUUACACAUGCAAGUCGAACGGCAGCACGGGGGCAGCCCUGGUGGCGAGUGGCGAACGGGUGAGUAAUACAUCGGAACGUGCCCGGUCGUGGGGGAUAACGUAGCGAAAGUUACGCUAAUACCGCAUACGAUCUGAGGAUGAAAGCGGGGGACCUUCGGGCCUCGCGCGAUCGGAGCGGCCGAUGUCAGAUUAGGUAGUUGGUGGGGUAAAGGCCUACCAAGCCGACGAUCUGUAGCUGGUCUGAGAGGACGACCGGCCACACUGGGACUGAGACACGGCCCAGACUCCUACGGGAGGCAGCAGUGGGGAAUUUUGGACAAUGGGCGCAAGCCUGAUCCAGCCAUUCCGCGUGCAGGACGAAGGCCUUCGGGUUGUAAACUGCUUUUGUACGGAACGAAAAGGCUCUGGCUAAUACCUGGGGCUCAUGACGGUACCGUAAGAAUAAGCACCGGCUAACUACGUG
RNAcentral lists this ribosomal RNA (484 nucleotides) under uncultured bacterium. RNAcentral describes it as "partial 16S ribosomal RNA". It matches the Rfam family "Bacterial small subunit ribosomal RNA", at positions 30 to 507 of the family's 1533-position model. The record is from RNAcentral.